Molecule: ribosomal RNA, 497 nt
Filed under: uncultured bacterium
Lineage: Bacteria
Description: partial 16S ribosomal RNA
Rfam family: Bacterial small subunit ribosomal RNA
Source: RNAcentral
GACGAACGCUGGCGGCGUGCCUAAUACAUGCAAGUUGAGCGCUGAAGGUUGGUACUUGUACCAACUGGAUGAGCAGCGAACGGGUGAGUAACGCGUGGGGAAUCUGCCUUUGAGCGGGGGACAACAUUUGGAAACGAAUGCUAAUACCGCAUAAAAACUUUAAACACAAGUUUUAAGUUUGAAAGAUGCAAUUGCAUCACUCAAAGAUGAUCCCGCGUUGUAUUAGCUAGUUGGUGAGGUAAAGGCUCACCAAGGCGAUGAUACAUAGCCGACCUGAGAGGGUGGUCGGCCACAUUGGGACUUGGACACGGCCCAAACUCCUACGGGAGGCAGCAGUAGGGGAUCUUCGGCCAUGGACGAAAGUCUGACCGAGCAACGCCGCGUGAGUGAAGAAGGUUUUCGGGUCGUAAAACUCUGUUGGUAGGGAAGAACGUUGGUGAGAGUGGAAAGCUCAUCAAGUGACGGUAACUACCCAGAAAGGGACGGCUAACUACGUG